CCACGUACGGAAACACUGAUUGAGAUUUACUCAAUAGGAUAGCUAAAACCUGACAGUAGUGAUUUUUUAAAUGUUAGUAGUAAUCCAGAACAAAAGAACAAGGUAAGCAAGUGAAAGAGUCAACUUACCUUUAACAAAAUUUCGUCAUAUGCCAAAAAAGAUUCAUCCCUAAAUGUUUAAUGAAGUGAUGCUUCUGGCACUUUUGGUUCCUCCAUAUCACGCUGCAAUGAACAUGUCCCAUUGGAAAAUUAGAUGUAUAAAAAAAUUAAAAUGGCAGCAAUUACUAUUCAAUAGUGAACAAUCAGGCUAUUAGAACAUACCUAUAUACAGUUGUGUAGCACCAUAACAUCUUAAAUUGGGAUAAAGACAGACAGAGUUCACCAUCAAUAUACAAUCAGGCUUCUGAACAAUAACUACCAGCAGCCCAACAGUACUAAUCAAAUGAAAUAAGAUAAAUUCAGUUACUUUAGAAUAGUAGUACCUGGCCAAUGGUUGGCCGUAUGAAGAAAAAAUAAGGAUCGAGAUGUUUAUGUGAAGAAGAACUGAAGUCAUAUCAUCUCCUGUUGCACAACCAACUACUGGCCAAUGGUUGGCCGUAUGAACAUACAAGUACCAAAACGACAUGGACUGUAAUAGUCUUGAACCUAUAUAGACACGGGUUAUUCUAGAAAUAUAUCUGGAACAUGUUGUACAUGCGGCAUCAAUACUAUGGCUGAAUCAAAUGAUCAAUUAACCCUAAUACAUACUACGAGCACCCACAUAUACAAAACAUGCAAUCAGAAGAAAGAAGAGUACAUCGAGCGGCUUGAAAUGGUUUCCCAUGGUGGC
This 828-nucleotide long non-coding RNA is filed under the name Triticum aestivum (bread wheat). RNAcentral describes it as "long non-coding RNA (TAES_LNC024935)". Lineage: Eukaryota; Viridiplantae; Streptophyta; Magnoliopsida; Poales; Poaceae. The record is from RNAcentral.